Molecule: ribosomal RNA, 557 nt
Filed under: uncultured bacterium
Lineage: Bacteria
Description: bacterial SSU rRNA
Rfam family: Bacterial small subunit ribosomal RNA
Source: RNAcentral
UAGGGAAUCUUUCGGGCAAUGGACGGAAGUCUGACCGAGCAACGCCCGCGUGAGUGAAGAAGGUUUUUCGGAUCGUAAAGCUCUGUUGUAAGAGAAGAACGAGUGUGAGAGUGGAAAGUUCACACUGUGACGGUAUCUUACCAGAAAGGGACGGCUAACUACGUGCCAGCAGCCGCGGUAAUACGUAGGUCCCGAGCGUUGUCCGGAUUUAUUGGGCGUAAAGCGAGCGCAGGCGGUUAGAUAAGUCUGAAGUUAAAGGCUGUGGCUUAACCAUAGUACGCUUUGGAAACUGUUUAACUUGAGUGCAAGAGGGGAGAGUGGAAUUCCAUGUGUAGCGGUGAAAUGCGUAGAUAUAUGGAGGAACACCGGUGGCGAAAGCGGCUCUCUGGCUUGUAACUGACGCUGAGGCUCGAAAGCGUGGGGAGCAAACAGGAUUAGAUACCCUGGUAGUCCACGCCGUAAACGAUGAGUGCUAGGUGUUAGACCCUUUCCGGGGUUUAGUGCCGCAGCUAACGCAUUAAGCACUCCGCCUGGGGAGUACGAAAAAAGGGGGGUUG